GAUGAACGCUAGCUACAGGCUUAACACAUGCAAGUCGCGGGGCAGCAUGGGGGUUGCUUGCAAUCCCCGAUGGCGACCGGCGCACGGGUGAGUAACGCGUAUCCAACCUGCCCUUCACCACGGGAUAACCCGGCGAAAGUCGGACUAAUACCGUAUGUGGUCCAUUGACGGCAUCCGAUUUGGACGAAAGGCUUGGCGGUGAGGGAUGGGGAUGCGUCCGAUUAGCCAGACGGCGGGGUAACGGCCCACCGUGGCUACGAUCGGUAGGGGUUCUGAGAGGAAGGUCCCCCACACUGGAACUGAGACACGGUCCAGACUCCUACGGGAGGCAGCAGUGAGGAAUAUUGGUCAAUGGGCGUAAGCCUGAACCAGCCAAGUAGCGUGCAGGAUGACGGCCCUAUGGGUUGUAAACUGCUUUUAUGCGGGGAUAAAGUGGCCCACGUGUGGGCUUUUGCAGGUACCGCAUGAAUAAGGACCGGCUAAUUCCGUG
RNAcentral lists this ribosomal RNA (490 nucleotides) under uncultured bacterium. RNAcentral describes it as "partial 16S ribosomal RNA". It matches the Rfam family "Bacterial small subunit ribosomal RNA", at positions 28 to 507 of the family's 1533-position model. The record is from RNAcentral.